Molecule: ribosomal RNA, 253 nt
Filed under: uncultured bacterium
Lineage: Bacteria
Description: partial 16S ribosomal RNA
Rfam family: Bacterial small subunit ribosomal RNA
Source: RNAcentral
UACGAAGGGGGCUAGCGUUGCUCGGAAUCACUGGGCGUAAAGGGUGCGUAGGCGGGGUUUUAAGUCAGAGGUGAAAUCCUGGAGCUCAACUCCAGAACUGCCUUUGAUACUGAGAAUCUUGAGUUCGGGAGAGGUGAGUGGAACUGCGAGUGUAGAGGUGAAAUUCGUAGAUAUUCGCAAGAACACCAGUGGCGAAGGCGGCUCACUGGCCCGGUACUGACGCUGAGGUGCGAAAGCGUGGGGAGCAAACAGG